UGGGGAAUUUUGGACAAUGGGGGAAACCCUGAUCCAGCCAUGCCGCGUGCGGGAAGAAGGCCUUCGGGUUGUAAACCGCUUUUGUUAGGAACGAAAAGGCUUUGACGAAUAAUCAGAGCUGCUGACGGUACCUAAAGAAUAAGCACCGGCUAACUACGUGCCAGCAGCCGCGGUAAUACGUAGGGUGCGAGCGUUAAUCGGAAUUACUGGGCGUAAAGCGUGCGCAGGCGGUUGGGUAAGACAGAUGUGAAAUCCCUGAGCUUAACUUAGGAAUAGCAUUUGUGACUGCUCGACUGGAGUGUGUCAGAGGGAGGUGGAAUUCCAAGUGUAGCAGUGAAAUGCGUAGAUAUUUGGAAGAACACCGAUGGCGAAGGCAGCCUCCUGGGAUAACACUGACGCUCAUGCACGAAAGCGUGGGGAGCAAACAGG
This 429-nucleotide ribosomal RNA is filed under the name uncultured bacterium. RNAcentral describes it as "bacterial SSU rRNA". It matches the Rfam family "Bacterial small subunit ribosomal RNA", at positions 355 to 776 of the family's 1533-position model. The record is from RNAcentral.